GGCGCGGGGCCGGGUCGGGGCGCGGGGGCCCGGGCGGCAUCCUCCCGGGCCCAGGGCCUGGCGGGCGCGGGGCGGCGGGAGGACGGAGAGGCGGCCCCGCGGGAACUGCGCGCGCAGACUCGCCUCUUCGCGGCGGGCACGCGGGACCGAGGUCUCGGGGCCGAGGGUGGCGCUCCCGCGGUUGGGGGGUGGGGGACGAGAACUCUUUUGAGAUCUGAGGUCGCCGGUGAGUCACUGGACCGAGGUAGAAGCGCCUUUAUUGCUGGAGGAGAUCCCCUAGGGCGAUGUCUACCUGGUGUGCCCUCGCCUGCACUUCGGCCGUGCCAGCCUUUGAUUCAAUCUCCUGUUCCCGUGGGAGGCAGGGACCGUGGCCUCUCGUCUUCAGUGUGGUUUAGUUUGGAGUAGCUUCAGAACAACUUUGCAAAUACGUGGUAGAGUGACUGAGGUGGGGAGAAGGUGUGGACUGGGGUGCAGAGAUGUGUUGGUAUGAUUCCAUGCUGGUUUCCAUCGUGGGGAUGGCACUGUACACAGGAUAUGUCUUCAUGCCUCAGCACAUCAUGGCGAUACUGCACUACUUUGAAAUUGUACAGUGACCAAGAUGUGACCAAAAUCAAGAGGUUCUUUAGGGAAGAGCCACUGUCUGAAGUUGGAACGAGACUUCAUCAGAUGUCAUAAGAAACUCUACUAGAUGUCAACAUAACCGACCCUCUGAAUAUAAAGACUAAAAUUUAUGAGUAGAACAGGAAAACAAUCCUGACUCAUGUGUUGUGUUCUUUAUUUUUAAUUUUAAAAGAGGCUCUUGUAUAGUAGUUUUUGUCUAUUUUAACAUUGUAGUCAUUUGUACUUUGAUAUCAGUAUUUUCUUAACCUUUGUGACUGUUUCAAUAUUACCCAGUGAAAGCUUUUCUUAAUGUAAUUUUGAGUACAUUUUAAUUGCCUUCUAUUUCUAAAACCCAAAGUCAUUAGUUGGGCUUUAUGGUUCUUGCUAUCAUAUGGCAUACAUAUCUGCCUGGAUAUAUUUCUACUCUUGACCAAAGUUUUGUAAGAAAAAAUUCACGAUUUGGGGCAGGGGGCUGGGGAGGGAGGAUAUUUUCUUGAGAACUAUUUACAAAAGACUUACCUGUAAGUUUGAACUCAGGAGUACGGUUUUAGCUCUCUGGACUCUACUCUUAACAGCUUUUACUUUAAAACUAUUAAAGUGUUUCUUAACAAUGAAAAAGGAAGAUCUUGCUGAAGUUAAAAUAAGGAACAUUUCACCUUUUAAAUAUUUAAUUUGUGUGUGGACUCAUUUCCAGAAAACUUUGGUGAUGGUUCUUGUGACAAAUGGUGGUGAAGUAGCAUUAUUAUGUAAUGCUUAUAUAUAGUAGAGCUUUUAAUAGAAGGUAAAUCAAUUUCCUCUGAGGGCCAUUAGUAACAAUGUACUUCUUUAAAUUUAGUGUCAUGAUUGUAAUGGGUGCUGCAAAUGCAUUUGCACAUUGUAAUAUGAUGAGAUGAAUUGUUAAAAACUAUAGCAAAAAGAAAUGUAAACUUGGUUAAAAUCCUCUCACUCUUUGUAUUGCUUUUUUUUUAAAAAGAUUUUUAUUCCUUAAAUGUAAAAUGACUACCUAAUUUUUUGAUGUAAACUCAUUAAAUUCAAAGAGAGA
Lagenorhynchus albirostris (white-beaked dolphin) is the source of this 1642-nucleotide RNA transcript. It is a transcript of the gene named serine palmitoyltransferase small subunit A, with no coding region annotated. The record is from RefSeq and is a predicted model, not a curated record. Lineage: Eukaryota; Metazoa; Chordata; Mammalia; Artiodactyla; Delphinidae. The transcript is spliced from 4 exons.